UACGUAGGGGGCAAGCGUUGUCCGGAUUUACUGGGCGUAAAGCGCGCGCAGGUGGUUUCUUAAGUCUGAUGUGAAAGCCCACGGCUCAACCGUGGAGGGUCAUUGGAAACUGGGGAACUUGAGUGCAGAAGAGGAAAGUGGAAUUCCUGGUGUAGCGGUGAAAUGCGCAGAUAUCAGGAAGAACACCCGUGGCGAAAGCGGCUCUCUGGAACGGUACUGACGCUGAGACGCGAAAGCGUGGGGAGCGAACAGG
Molecule: ribosomal RNA, 253 nt
Filed under: uncultured bacterium
Lineage: Bacteria
Description: partial 16S ribosomal RNA
Rfam family: Bacterial small subunit ribosomal RNA
Source: RNAcentral